Molecule: long non-coding RNA, 599 nt
Filed under: Rattus norvegicus (Norway rat)
Lineage: Eukaryota; Metazoa; Chordata; Mammalia; Rodentia; Muridae
Description: long non-coding RNA NONRATT004048
Source: RNAcentral
AUACUUACAAAACAGGUCUCAACAGAUACAAGAAUAUUGAAAUAAUCCCAUGCAUCCUAUCUGAUCACCAUGACUAAGGCUGGUCUUCAUUAACAACAAUAAUGACAGCCCACAUACACAUGGAACCUGAACAAUGCUCUACUCAGUUAUUACUUGGUCAAGGAAGAAAUAAAGAAAUUAAAGACUUUUCAGAAUUUAGUGAAAAUAAAGGUACAACAUACCCAAAAUUAUGGGACACAAUGAAAGCAGUACUAAGAGGAAAACUCAUAGCUCUGAAUGCCUCCAAAAAGAAAGUGGAGAGAGCAUACAUCAGCAGCUUGUACAGCACACUGAAAAGCUCUAGAACAAAAAGAAGCAAAUACACCUAAGAGGAGUGGACAGCAGGAAAUAGUCAAACUCAAGGUUGGAAUCAACCAAGUAAAAACAAAAAGGACUAUACAAAGUAUCAACAAAGCCAGGAGCUGGUUCUUUGUGAAAAUCCACAAGAUAGAUAAACCCUUAGCCAGACAAACCAAAGGGCACAGAGAGUGUAUCUAAAUUAGCAAAAUCAGAAAUGAAAAGGAAGACAUAACAGAAUCUGAGGAAAUAAAAAAAAAAAA